This is a long non-coding RNA of Neoarius graeffei (lesser salmon catfish), 1293 nucleotides long. RefSeq lists it as uncharacterized. NCBI's taxonomy places the organism in Eukaryota, Metazoa, Chordata, Actinopteri, Siluriformes, Ariidae. The transcript is spliced from 3 exons. The record is from RefSeq and is a predicted model, not a curated record.
UGAAAACUGAAGGUGUUGAGAUGUGGAAGUUACGAGACUCCAGUAAGGAAAUGCGCUUGCGUGAAAACAAAUUUGGAAAUUGCCAGGACUUGGCAGACGUGUUCUCCAGUCAAAGGAGUGAAAGAGUGGAAGUUCUGCAACUGGGUAAUGCCUGAGAACACACCAAUGACGUCUCAAGACAGAUCUUGGUAUCACGCAAUGAAUUUCCCAGCUUUGUUUUCUCCACAUAGUGCGUGAAAACUCAGGGUCUUCCAUGAAAAAGCUGCACAUGAUGGCUGAUAGUGGGUCUCCCAUCGCAAAACCUUCCUUCUGUCUGUAAAUUGUAUUCCUGAACUGAAAGUAUGUGGAUGUGGUGAUGAAUUGAAGGAGCUGAACGCAUUCAAAGAGCAAUGAGGAAACACAACAUUAACACACCUGUCAAACCACACACAACACUCCGUCAGAUCCUGGUUCAUCCCAAAGACAGAAUACAUCCGGACAACAGAUGCAACACCAUAUAUGAGAUUCCAUGUCAAUUAUGCAAUAAAACUUACAUUGGGGAGACAGGAAGGAGUUUCAACACAAGAAAAAAUGAACAUAAGAAAGAGUGCGAAAAGGAGACAGCUACAAGACAAACCCGAACAAUAAAAGAAAAGGCACAACAGGAAAAUUAUAAGUCAGCUAUAACAGAUCAUUGCAAAAGGGAAAAUCAUAUUAUGGACUGGGGGAAUGCCAGAGUCAUCCGCACAGAAGAUAACAAACAUCAGCGCUGGAUCAGGGAGGCCAUGGAGAUCCGUAAGCGAAGCCUGAGGACCAUCAACCGGGAUGAGGGAGCAUACAUGCUCUCCCACACCUGGAGUGCCAUCUUGCAGGGGACAAACAGACAGUAGAAGGCGUGACUGACCUGUCAAACCAGACAGGAAGGCCACGCCUUCAGAAACAUCAGCUGAUAAAAGAUGCGUCACCAAUAACAUCCAGUGACACUCUGAGGAAGACGACAGUCAUACGUCGAAACAUGUCAGAUUGCAACCGAUUUAUUCUAAGAUGUCUGUGGCAGCGGGGGCGUGGUCAAGCACCGGUCUGUGACAGGAGGGCGGAGUCGGGGAAGGUAAGUGGCAGAUUCACUUCACCUGAGAGCAAUUAACCUGUGUUUGUGUGUCUUCCCAGGGACCGCGCCCUAUUUAGGGAGGGAGAGCGAGAGCAGAGGAGAUCUCUCCCGAACCAGACACCUGAUGUGUGUGUGUGCGUGUGUCUGGGUAAAACCUCUUGUGUCCCCUGAAAAGUGGAAACAAUUAAACUGUUUGUUGAACCUGA